GCCAUAUCUUGUAAGCCUAUUGACUCAUAAUCAUAAAAAGAUUAUUAAGAAAGAAGCUUGCUGGACCAUCUCAAAUAUUACAGCUGGAAACAGCGAACAAAUUCAGGCUGUAAUUGAGGCUGGUUUAAUUGGCCCCCUGGUUAAUUUGGUUCAAAAUGCUGAGUUUGAUAUAAAGAAAGAAGCUGCAUGGGCAAUUUCAAAUGCUACUUCUGGUGGUACUCAUGACCAAAUCAAGUACUUGGUGAGUCAAGGGUGCAUAAAACCAUUGUGUGAUCUCCUUGUCUGUCCUGAUCCAAGGAUUGUCACUGUAUGUCUUGAAGGGUUAGAGAACAUUCUGAAGGUUGGGGAAGCUGAAAAGAAUUUGGGGAG
RNAcentral lists this unclassified non-coding RNA (369 nucleotides) under Hevea brasiliensis (rubber tree). Lineage: Eukaryota; Viridiplantae; Streptophyta; Magnoliopsida; Malpighiales; Euphorbiaceae. The record is from RNAcentral.